AUUUCUAUUUCAAAAAUAGUUUUCUAUUUCAUAACUAAUGACCAGAUAAUAGCAUCUGUUAUUCAUGUUAAUUUUUACCUACUGAUGAAAUACAUACACAUUUACAGUCAAAUGCAU
This is a long non-coding RNA of Sinocyclocheilus rhinocerous, 117 nucleotides long. RefSeq lists it as uncharacterized. The transcript is spliced from 3 exons. Lineage: Eukaryota; Metazoa; Chordata; Actinopteri; Cypriniformes; Cyprinidae. The record is from RefSeq and is a predicted model, not a curated record.